AUUGAACGCUGGCGGCAUGCCUUACACAUGCAAGUCGAACGGUAACAAGUUAAGCUGACGAGUGGCGAACGGGUGAGUAAUAUAUCGGAACGUGCCCAGUCGUGGGGGAUAACGUAGCGAAAGCUACGCUAAUGCCGCAUACGAUCUACGGAUGAAAGCGGGGGAUCGCAAGACCUCGCGCGAUUGGAGCGGCCGAUAUCAGAUUAGGUUGUUGGUGGGGUAAAAGCUCACCAAGCAUGCGAUCUGUAGCUGGUCUGAGAGGACGACCAGCCACACUGGAACUGAGACACGGUCCAGACUCCUACGGGAGGCAGCAGUGGGGAAUUUUGGACAAUGGACGCAAGUCUGAUCCAGCAAUGCCGCGUGCAGGACGAAGGCCUUCGGGUUGUAAACUGCUUUCGUACGGAACGAAACGGUGAGCUCUAAUACAGUUUGCUAAUGACGGUACCGUAAGAAUAAGCACCGGCUAACUACGUGCCAGCAGCCGCGGUAA
Molecule: ribosomal RNA, 493 nt
Filed under: uncultured bacterium
Lineage: Bacteria
Description: partial 16S ribosomal RNA
Rfam family: Bacterial small subunit ribosomal RNA
Source: RNAcentral